This 495-nucleotide ribosomal RNA is filed under the name uncultured bacterium. RNAcentral describes it as "partial 16S ribosomal RNA". It matches the Rfam family "Bacterial small subunit ribosomal RNA", at positions 28 to 507 of the family's 1533-position model. The record is from RNAcentral.
GACGAACGCUGGCGGCGUGCCUAAUACAUGCAAGUCGAACGCUGAAGGAGGAGCUUGCUUCUCUGGAUGAGUUGCGAACGGGUGAGUAACGCGUAGGUAACCUGCCUGGUAGCGGGGGAUAACUAUUGGAAACGAUAGCUAAUACCGCAUAAUAGUAGAUGUUGCAUGACAUUUGCUUAAAAGGUGCAAUUGCAUCACUACCAGAUGGACCUGCGUUGUAUUAGCUAGUUGGUGGGGUAACGGCUCACCAAGGCGACGAUACAUAGCCGACCUGAGAGGGUGGUCGGCCACACUGGGACUGAGACACGGCCCAGACUCCUACGGGAGGCAGCAGUAGGGAAUCUUCGGCAAUGGACGGAAGUCUGACCGAGCAACGCCGCGGGAGUGGAGAAGGUUUUCGGAUCGUAAAGCUCUGUUGUAAGAGAAGAACGAGUGUGAGAGUGGAAAGUGCACACUGUGACGGUAUCUUACCAGAAAGGGACGGCUAACUACGUG